Long non-coding RNA from Topomyia yanbarensis, 323 nucleotides. RefSeq lists it as uncharacterized. The record is from RefSeq and is a predicted model, not a curated record. NCBI's taxonomy places the organism in Eukaryota, Metazoa, Arthropoda, Insecta, Diptera, Culicidae. The transcript is spliced from 3 exons.
GAUUUCCUCUAUAUAUAGACGAGCCGAAUCCCGAACCGGGGCACAGUGCGAUGCUGAAUCUUUGCUGGAAAUCACUAGUUGGGGAAGAAAUUCAAGUACAGACUAUCCCAAAAACUAAAGGUCUUCACGGAGUGAUGAUUUGGGAACUGAAAGUAACGAUAUUCUGGUUUUCAUGUCGUGAUUUUGGAGCGUAAUGUUUCACCUCUAAAUUAGUCGGAACGGUAACUUCAAAUUGCUAUAUCCGCCAUGUUUUCCGACAGAUUGUAAAAUUUUAUUCACCCAUGGAUAACCCCAAGUUUGUAGAUGUUUUUCGAUGCCACAGG